This 385-nucleotide ribosomal RNA is filed under the name uncultured bacterium. RNAcentral's name for it is "bacterial SSU rRNA". It matches the Rfam family "Bacterial small subunit ribosomal RNA", at positions 29 to 416 of the family's 1533-position model. The record is from RNAcentral.
AUUGAACGCUGGCGGCAGGCCUAACACAUGCAAGUCGAGCGGCAGCGCGGGGCAACCUGGCGGCGAGCGGCGAACGGGUGAGUAAUACAUGGGAAUCUGCCUGGUAGUGGGGGAUAACUCUGGGAAACUAGAGGUAAUACCGCAUACGUCCUACGGGAGAAAGCGGGGGAUCUUCGGACCUCGCGCUAUCAGAGGAGCCCAUGUCCGAUUAGCUAGUUGGUGAGGUAAAGGCUCACCAAGGCGACGAUCGGUAACUGGUCUGAGAGGAUGGUCAGUCACACUGGAACUGAGACACGGUCCAGACUCCUACGGGAGGCAGCAGUGGGGAAUAUUGGACAAUGGGGGGCAACCCUGAUCCAGCCAUGCCGCGUGUGUGAAGAAGGCC